Molecule: transfer RNA, 74 nt
Filed under: Drosophila pseudoobscura pseudoobscura
Lineage: Eukaryota; Metazoa; Arthropoda; Insecta; Diptera; Drosophilidae
Description: tRNA-Asn (GTT) (tRNA-Asn-GTT-2-1)
Rfam family: tRNA
About the family: Transfer RNA (tRNA) molecules are approximately 80 nucleotides in length. Their secondary structure includes four short double-helical elements and three loops (D, anti-codon, and T loops).
Source: RNAcentral
GCCUCCGUGGCGCAAUUGGUUAGCGCGUUCGGCUGUUAACCGAAAGGUUGGUGGUUUGAGUCCACCCGGGGGCG